Non-coding RNA from Lasiosphaeria hispida, 123 nucleotides. NCBI's taxonomy places the organism in Eukaryota, Fungi, Ascomycota, Sordariomycetes, Sordariales, Lasiosphaeriaceae. The record is from the annotation of a GenBank genome assembly.
ACCCUUAUAGUACAGUGGCAGUAUGCUUUACUCUUAUGAAUCAGGCAACUUAUAUAUAGUCCAUACAGCAAGUUAUCUAGUUUAGUAUCAAAGAGGUCAGGGGUUCAAUUCCUCCUAAGGGCA